Molecule: transfer RNA, 71 nt
Filed under: Candidatus Acidiferrum panamense
Lineage: Bacteria; Pseudomonadati; Acidobacteriota; Terriglobia; Candidatus Acidiferrales
Also listed under: 1 other name
Description: Candidatus Acidoferrum panamensis tRNA
Rfam family: tRNA
About the family: Transfer RNA (tRNA) molecules are approximately 80 nucleotides in length. Their secondary structure includes four short double-helical elements and three loops (D, anti-codon, and T loops).
Source: Rfam by way of RNAcentral
UCCCUCUUCGUCUAAUGGAAGGACGCCGCGCUCUGAACGCGGAAAUCGUGGUUCGAGUCCACGGGAGGGAG